RNAcentral lists this ribosomal RNA (1641 nucleotides) under Salmonella enterica subsp. enterica serovar Stanley. RNAcentral describes it as "partial 23S ribosomal RNA". It matches the Rfam family "Bacterial large subunit ribosomal RNA", at positions 583 to 2209 of the family's 2925-position model. The record is from RNAcentral. Lineage: Bacteria; Pseudomonadati; Pseudomonadota; Gammaproteobacteria; Enterobacterales; Enterobacteriaceae.
CUUCGGGGUGUGACUGCGUACCUUUUGUAUAAUGGGUCAGCGACUUAUAUUCUGUAGCAAGGUUAACCGAAUAGGGGAGCCGGAGGGAAACCGAGUCUUAAUUGGGCGUUAAGUUGCAGGGUAUAGACCCGAAACCCGGUGAUCUAGCCAUGGGCAGGUUGAAGGUUGGGUAACACUAACUGGAGGACCGAACCGACUAAUGUUGAAAAAUUAGCGGAUGACCUGUGGCUGGGGGUGAAAGGCCAAUCAAACCGGGAGAUAGCUGGUUCUCCCCGAAAGCUAUUUAGGUAGCGCCUCGUGAAUUCAUCUCCGGGGGUAGAGCACUGUUUCGGCUAGGGGGCCAUCCCGGCUUACCAACCCGAUGCAAACUGCGAAUACCGGAGAAUGUUAUCACGGGAGACACACGGCGGGUGCUAACGUCCGUCGUGAAGAGGGAAACAACCCAGACCGCCAGCUAAGGUCCCAAAGUCAUGGUUAAGUGGGAAACGAUGUGGGAAGGCCCAGACAGCCAGGAUGUUGGCUUAGAAGCAGCCAUCAUUUAAAGAAAGCGUAAUAGCUCACUGGUCGAGUCGGCCUGCGCGGAAGAUGUAACGGGGCUAAACCAUGCACCGAAGCUGCGGCAGCGACACUGUGUGUUGUUGGGUAGGGGAGCGUUCUGUAAGCCUGUGAAGGUGUGUCGUGAGGCAUGCUGGAGGUAUCAGAAGUGCGAAUGCUGACAUAAGUAACGAUAAAGCGGGUGAAAAGCCCGCUCGCCGGAAGACCAAGGGUUCCUGUCCAACGUUAAUCGGGGCAGGGUGAGUCGACCCCUAAGGCGAGGCCGAAAGGCGUAGUCGAUGGGAAACGGGUUAAUAUUCCCGUACUUGGUGUUACUGCGAAGGGGGGACGGAGAAGGCUAUGUUGGCCGGGCGACGGUUGUCCCGGUUUAAGCGUGUAGGUGUGUGUUCCAGGUAAAUCCGGUUCACUUUAACACUGAGGCGUGACGACGAGGCACUACGGUGCUGAAGCAACAAAUGCCCUGCUUCCAGGAAAAGCCUCUAAGCAUCAGGUAACAUCAAAUCGUACCCCAAACCGACACAGGUGGUCAGGUAGAGAAUACCAAGGCGCUUGAGAGAACUCGGGUGAAGGAACUAGGCAAAAUGGUGCCGUAACUUCGGGAGAAGGCACGCUGACACGUAGGUGAAGUGAUUUACUCAUGGAGCUGAAGUCAGUCGAAGAUACCAGCUGGCUGCAACUGUUUAUUAAAAACACAGCACUGUGCAAACACGAAAGUGGACGUAUACGGUGUGACGCCUGCCCGGUGCCGGAAGGUUAAUUGAUGGGGUCAGCGCAAGCGAAGCUCCUGAUCGAAGCCCCGGUAAACGGCGGCCGUAACUAUAACGGUCCUAAGGUAGCGAAAUUCCUUGUCGGGUAAGUUCCGACCUGCACGAAUGGCGUAAUGAUGGCCAGGCUGUCUCCACCCGAGACUCAGUGAAAUUGAACUCGCUGUGAAGAUGCAGUGUACCCGCGGCAAGACGGAAAGACCCCGUGAACCUUUACUAUAGCUUGACACUGAACAUUGAGCCUUGAUGUGUAGGAUAGGUGGGAGGCUUUGAAGCGUGGACGCCAGUCUGCGUGGAGCCGACCUUGAAAUACCACCCUUUA